This 433-nucleotide ribosomal RNA is filed under the name uncultured bacterium. Its description in RNAcentral is "partial 16S ribosomal RNA". It matches the Rfam family "Bacterial small subunit ribosomal RNA", at positions 29 to 507 of the family's 1533-position model. The record is from RNAcentral.
AACGAACGCUGGCGGCAUGCCUAACACAUGCAAGUCGAACGAGACCAUCGGGUCUAGGGGCGCACGGGUGCGUAACGCGUGGGAACCUGCACUUAGGUUCGGAAUAACUCCCCGAAAGGGGUGCUAAUACCGGAUAAUGUCUUCGGACCAAAGAUUUAUCGACUUUGGAUGGGCCCGCGUUGGAUUAGCUAGUUGGUAGGGUAAAAGCCUACUAAGGCGACGAUCCAUAGCUGGUCUGAGAGGAUGAUCAGCAACACUGGGACUGGGACACGGCCCAGACUCCUACGAGAUGCAGCAGAGGGUAAUAGUGGACAAUGGGCGAAAGCCUGAUCCAGCUAUGCCGCGUGAGUGAUGAAGUCCUUAGAGUUGUAAAGCGCUUUUACCCGGGAUGAUAAUGACAGUACCGAGAGAAUAAGCCCCGGCUAACUCCGUG